Molecule: long non-coding RNA, 1080 nt
Organism: Mercenaria mercenaria
Lineage: Eukaryota; Metazoa; Mollusca; Bivalvia; Venerida; Veneridae
Exons: 3
Source: RefSeq, a predicted model, not a curated record
CAGCAACCACACCUACGGUCGACAGCGAUCUAACUCGCCCUGAGUUUCCAGUCUCAGACACAAUAUUAGGAUAUGGACAUGCUUGGUUUUCCGCGACAUAUCGUGGGUUUCGCAAAAUAUGGCACCAUGGAUGAAUAUUCUCAUAUCGAUCUGCUGUAUGGAUAUUUCCGGACAUAAAUGCAGGAAUUUAUGCAAAUGUCAAUGGUCCAUCCGUAUUGAAAUUGACGGGAUAUGCUCUGCAAACCAUUUUGUAUUACGUAAGUGAUAAACUUAUUGCGAAAGAACAAUGGCUCAGUGAAACAACAACUUGCGAAUUUCCACAGCCAUGGCAAGAUACGAAAAUGAACGCAACAUCAUCAGAGCCGUUUCGAAAGCUGCAGAAUCCAUCGGAAUACGUUGGCUAUUACGGGAAUAAUUUUCUUCCUGGCUUAAAUGUUUCAACAAAAUUGGGACAUAAUUCGUCGUUAUUAUUUCAAAUGAACAGACUUAAAGGAGCUCUUCGUUCUACACAUGACAAGGAUAGAUUUUUACUAGAAAUCACUUCACCUUGGGAAUACAGGCUCUUAUCAAAAGACGAUAACAAUGUUACAAUUAAGCUAAAUACAACGUUUCUGCGAAAUGAGAUAGGUGUGGUUACAUCUUUAGAAAUUCAAUAUUUGGUGAAGGUGGUAUUCACUAAAGGUGUAUCAGUCCUGAACGACCUGGUUUCUGGAACGACUGCUGGAUCCCGUCAAGACAAAUACUUAUCUUGGGGAUAAGGUUCUUUUCUCCUACAUGUGACUUCUACUAACCUGUAUUUAAACGGUGCCCGUUUUAUUGAAAUUGAGCCCAGCCAUUUAAACUCAGAGUGUGACUAUAAUAGCAUUGACUUAUAUACAAAUGUUCCAUUCUCAUUAGUGUUACAUGUGUGAACAGUAAAAUGAAUAUUGUUCUCUGUAAAAAAUAAGUAGCGCUGCUUUUACAACAAAACAUUAAUAAAUAAGAGUCAGGGAAAAUAAUCAAAUUAACUUAAACUAAGUACGUAAGCACGUGACAUUGUGACUUGUCAUAACAAUCUUUAGAUAAAUUCCUUGAUUUAUA